UGCAGUCGAACGGAAAGGCCCUUCGGGGUACUCGAGUGGCGAACGGGUGAGUAACACGUGGGUGAUCUGCCCUGCACUUUGGGAUAAGCCUGGGAAACUGGGUCUAAUACCGAAUAUACCUUGCUGGUUGCAUGACCUGGUGGGGGAAAGCUUUUGCGGUGUGGGAUGGGCCCNCGGCCUAUCANCUUGUGNUGGUGAGGUUAUGGCUUACCAAGGCGACGACGGGUAGCCGGCCUGAGAGGGUGACCGGCCACACUGGGACUGAGAUACGGCCCAGACUCCUACGGGAGGCAGCAGUGGGGAAUAUUGCACAAUGGGCGCAAGCCUGAUGCAGCGACGCCGCGUGAGGGAUGACGGCCUUCGGGUUGUAAACCUCUUUCANCAGGGACGAAGCGCAAGUGACGGUACCUGUAGAAGAAGGACCGGCCAACUACGUGCCAGCAGCCGCGGUAAUACGUAGGGUCCGAGCGUUGUCCGGAAUUACUGGGCGUAAAGAGCUCGUANGUGGUUUGUCGCGUUGUUCGUGAAAACUCACAGCUCAACUGUGGGCGUGCGGGCGAUACNGGCAGACUGGANUACUGCANGGGANACUGGAAUUCCUGGUGUAGCGGUGGAAUGCGCA
Molecule: ribosomal RNA, 622 nt
Filed under: Mycobacterium sp. URHE0018
Lineage: Bacteria; Bacillati; Actinomycetota; Actinomycetes; Mycobacteriales; Mycobacteriaceae
Description: bacterial SSU rRNA
Rfam family: Bacterial small subunit ribosomal RNA
Source: RNAcentral